AGAGUUUGAUCCUGGCUCAGGAUGAACGCUGGCGGCGUGCCUAAUACAUGCAAGUCGAACGAAGCACAUUUGUGCUUAGUGGCAAAGGGGAGAAUCAAAUAUAAAUCACCUGCCCUUGACAGGGAGAUAACCAUCAAAAACAAACUCUUACACCGCAUAGGUAAUUAAGUUGCAUGUCUCAUGUAUUAGAUAUCCUACGAGAUAUGUGAAGGAAGGACUUAUCAGUCAUUAGAUAUUGGGAGAGAUAACGGCUCCCCACGAGUAUGAAGUGUAUACCACGUGAGAGAGUGAUAGCCCACACAUGGAAUGAGACACGCCCCCGAGUCUUACGGGAGGCACCACUGUGGAAUAUUGCACACAAGGGGAAACCGCGAUGCCCCAAUACGGCGUGAGUGAUGACGACGUUUUGGUUGUAAAAAUUUGUUUUCAGGGAGGAUAAUGACGGUACUUGAGGAGGAAGCCACGGCUAAUUACGUGCCAGCAGCAGCGGUAAUAAGUAGGUGGCAACCGUUGUCAUCAUUUUUUGGGCGUAAAGGGAGUGUAGGCGGAUUUUUAAGUAAUAUGAGAAAUACCCGGGCUUAUCUUUGGUGAUCCAUUUCAAACUGGAAUUGUUGAGUACAGUAGAGGAGAAGGGAAUUCUCUAGUGUAGCGGUGAAAUGAGUAGAGAUUAGGAAGAACACCAGCGGAGAAGGCGCUUCUUUGGUCUGUAAUUCACGAUGAGGCUACAAAGAAUGGGGAGCAACCAACAUUAGAUACCACGGUAGUCCUCCCCGCAAACGAUGAAUAGUAGGUGUAGGGGUUGUCAUCACCUGUGUGCCACCGCUCACACAUUACGUAUUCCGCGUGGAGAGUGCGGUCGCAAGAUUAAAUCUCAAAAGAAUUGACGAGAGCCCGCACACGCAGUAGAGUAUGUGGUUUUAUUAGACGCAACGAGGAGCGCCUCCACAGUACUUCAUAUCCCUUGGCUUCCUUGUAACGGAGGGUCUCGUUCUUCGGUUUGACAAGCUGACAGGUCGUGCAUGUUGUUAGUCAGCUUGUGUCGAGAGAUGUUGGGUUAAGUCCCGCAGCGCGCGCCACCCGUUCGGUUAGUUCAUAAACAAGAGCACUCUGGCCGGACUGCCGUUGACAAAACGGAGGAAGGUGGGGACGACGUCAAAUCAUCAUGCCCCUUACGUUUUGGGCUACACACGUACUACAAUGGCGAAAACAAAGGGAAGCAAUACCGCGAGGUGGAGCAAACCCCAUAAAAAUCGUCUCAGUUCGGACUGCAGGCUGCAACCCGCCUGCACGAAGUUGGAAUUGCUAGUAAUCGCGGGUCAGCAUACCGCGGUGAAUACGUUCCCGGGCUUUGCACACACCGCCCGUCA
This 1367-nucleotide ribosomal RNA is filed under the name uncultured bacterium. RNAcentral describes it as "partial 16S ribosomal RNA". It matches the Rfam family "Bacterial small subunit ribosomal RNA". The record is from RNAcentral.